CCUGGAACAUGGUAAGCAGUAAGUAAAUUUUAGCCAUUAGCUAGUUCUAUCCUGUUUUACAGAUGAAGGAAAUCCAGCCCAGAGAUGCCUAGUGACCUUCCCAAAGAGUUGAGACUGGAACUCAUGUCUCCUCAUUUCCAGAGCAAUUUGUUUUCAGUACAAGUUGUAGAAUGAUGGCAGACAAGCUCUAAAGGUCAAACAUUCUGGCAGGAGGCAUUUGCAAUGUACAGUCAAGUGAAUUAUCUCAGCCGAUGUGGAAUAGAGAGCAAGGCAGGAAGGAUGUGGAGUCUUUUCAAUGAACUAGAGAAAGGAAAGCACAUCUUCCCAUUUAGAAGUCCACGUUCCCACGGGCGGAAUAUUUUACAGAAUCUUUUUUCAAAAUGUCAUCUUAUUGGGGCUUUCCUGGUGGCUCAGUGGUAAAGAAUCUGCCAGCCAACUAAGAGGAUGUGGGUUUGAUCCCUGGUCCAGGAAGAUCCCAUGUGCCGAGGAGCAACUGAGCCCAUGCACCACAACUGCAGGGCCUGCGCUCUAGAGCACAGGAGCUGCAACUAUUGAGCCCAUGUGCUACAACUACUGAAGCCUAAGCACCAUAGAGCCCAUGCUCCACAGCAAGAGAAGCCACCUCAAUGAGAAGAAGCUUGUGCACUGCAACUAGAGGGGAGCCCCCACUUGCUGAAGCUAGAGAAAAGCCCUUGCAACAGUGAAGACCUUGCAC
Molecule: long non-coding RNA, 715 nt
Organism: Bos indicus x Bos taurus (hybrid cattle)
Lineage: Eukaryota; Metazoa; Chordata; Mammalia; Artiodactyla; Bovidae
Source: Ensembl